RNAcentral lists this long non-coding RNA (286 nucleotides) under Monodelphis domestica (gray short-tailed opossum). RNAcentral's name for it is "lncRNA (ENSMODG00000042033.1)". Lineage: Eukaryota; Metazoa; Chordata; Mammalia; Didelphimorphia; Didelphidae. The record is from RNAcentral.
UCAGAAUAAAGAGGCAUGAAGGAGAGACACUCCAAGGAAAAGGAUAUUGGAGGGAUCUCACUGGUAGAAAGAGAAUGAAAAUAUUACACAGAGUGAAAUAAAACAAUAGAUAUUUUAAAAUCCAUGCUUAAAAUAGGUAUAUUUCAGAGAAUGUUUUGGAGUUGGAAAAUUGAUCCAGUGAUUCAUGUUAGAAAAGCAUUAUAAUAAAAAUGAAAUGAGAGUCUAAAGCAAUCUUGUAGCUAUGGGGAAAAAAUAAAAGGAAAAGGUAAUUUCUCUAUUACGGAUA